Molecule: ribosomal RNA, 491 nt
Filed under: uncultured bacterium
Lineage: Bacteria
Description: partial 16S ribosomal RNA
Rfam family: Bacterial small subunit ribosomal RNA
Source: RNAcentral
GUGCACGCUGGCGGUAGGCCUAACACAUGCAAGUCGAACGGCAGCACAGUAAGAGCUUGCUCUUACGGGUGGCGAGUGGCGGACGGGUGAAGAAUACAUCGGAAUCUACUUUUUCGUGGGGGAUAACGUAGGGAAACUUACGCUAAUACCGCAUACGACCUACGGGUGAAAGCAGGGGAUCUUCGGACCUUGCGCGAUUGAAUGAGCCGAUGUCGGAUUAGCUAGUUGGCGGGGUAAAGGCCCACCAAGGCGACGAUCCGUAGCUGGUCUGAGAGGAUGAUCAGCCACACUGGAACUGAGACACGGUCCAGACUCCUACGGGAGGCAGCAGUGGGGAAUAUUGGACAAUGGGCGCAAGCCUGAUCCAGCCAUACCGCGUGGGUGAAGAAGGCCUUCGGGUUGUAAAGCCCUUUUGUUGGGAAAGAAAAGCAGCAGGUUAAUACCCCGCUGUUCUGACGGUACCCAAAGAAUAAGCACCGGCUAACUUCGUG